Molecule: long non-coding RNA, 524 nt
Organism: Erpetoichthys calabaricus (reedfish)
Lineage: Eukaryota; Metazoa; Chordata; Cladistia; Polypteriformes; Polypteridae
Exons: 3
Source: RefSeq, a predicted model, not a curated record
UCUCACCGGACGCUCCGUCCCCUCUCAGUUUAGAGUAGACGAGGAUGCGGGUCACGUCUGUUUUCUUCAAGUUCAGCCUCGCGUCAGAGGCGUGAGUGGGAGGACUGGUACCGUAGAAUGCCGAUAAUGGAAUUAUUUGUCCCGUUCAGAAAUGACCCUCACAGAGAAAGAUACAGGUGGAACAGACAGGGUCUUCAGGAUUUCCAAAGGAACCUACUUGUAUGUUCAAAAUGAUUCUCCUGCCAGACCAGACAAACACCGCACCACUCAGUGACAUCACCAACGGACAACCCACUAAUGACUCACUUCCGGCACCACCCUCUGAUGAUGUCAUCUCCGAUACCUUCCAAAUCAGUUUCUGUUCCAGUCUUCCCAACUCCACCUCUUCCUCUAUUCAACCAUAUUUCUAGACCAGUUUUCAACCUGUUAGUCAGUUCUGUUGUGGACUCCAGUUUGGAAAGUCAUGUUUCUUUUAUUUUGCUGGCCAAUUUUUCAAGUAUACGGGGUGACCAUCCCCAAACCUU